This 75-nucleotide transfer RNA is filed under the name Candidatus Odyssella acanthamoebae. RNAcentral describes it as "tRNA-Val (GAC) (tRNA-Val-GAC-1-1)". It matches the Rfam family "tRNA". From Rfam's summary of the family: Transfer RNA (tRNA) molecules are approximately 80 nucleotides in length. Their secondary structure includes four short double-helical elements and three loops (D, anti-codon, and T loops). Lineage: Bacteria; Pseudomonadati; Pseudomonadota; Alphaproteobacteria; Holosporales; Candidatus Paracaedibacteraceae. RNAcentral also lists the same sequence under 4 other names. The record is from RNAcentral.
GGUCGCAUAGCUCAGCGGUAGAGCACUACGUUGACAUCGUAGGGGUCACAGGUUCAAUCCCUGUUGCGACCACCA